This is a long non-coding RNA of Cuculus canorus (common cuckoo), 3379 nucleotides long. RefSeq lists it as uncharacterized. Lineage: Eukaryota; Metazoa; Chordata; Aves; Cuculiformes; Cuculidae. The record is from RefSeq and is a predicted model, not a curated record. The transcript is spliced from 3 exons.
GACAAACAGCAGCGCUCGGGAUCACGGACACGGUUUGGCCACCUUCCACCUGAUGGAGCAAUGUAGCAGAGUGGUGUGUUGACUUAGCCUUGUGUCACCACCCUGCCUGAACCAGAUUGCAUCUGCAGUCUUCUGGAACUGACUACAUGCCUAAACUCAUAAAAGAUGCUGUGGAAACGUGGAUCUCUGGGGCCUUGGCAAGAUGCUUUUGCCAUAGCCUGUCUCUAUUGCCUGGUCCUCAGGAAGAAAAAGAAGUGAAAAUCAGCCAUGUGUCAUUAUCCUGCAAACAGUUUGAAAACCGCUUUGACAGCCAAUAGAAGAAAAUAGCGUAAUGUAGCCACAGCAAACAUGUCGUCUUUCUAACAGUUUGCAAUCGCAGUAUGAUCCCAGUGAGGAGUGGUGCUCGAAGCUCCCUCUGAUUACCUGUGUUCUUUUCUCUUACUGUAACAACAUUGGUUUUUUCCAACACACAAGUGUUCAUGCAAAAAUGCCAAGAUUCUCCAUGAAGAUUAAUCAAGCAGGUUUACAAAUUACAGAAAGACUGAUAUGGAACAAAAAGAAAAAUUAAAUAUUGCAGGAAUAUUGCACUCCCUUGUAAUCAAAGUCAUGUCUUUGGCUGGUGUUAUGUAGGAUACACAAGCCUUGGUGAGGCUUACGAGUACUUUUCUAGUGCAAAGUUAGCCCUAGCAAAUCACCCUAUUCUAAAAAUGGUGGCCAGUAAGCAAUAGGCGAGCAUGCUCUUGGGGGAGAAAACAGGAAGAAAACUUGGUGAAAGCUUGGUCUUCUACGGUCCUGCUUUUCACAAUUGAGUGAUUGAUAAACAAAAGGGAAAAAAAAAAAAAGUUGAGCUAAAUCACCACAAGGAUGGAUGCGUCCUGUUGUGAAACCAGUGACCUGCUCCUUCUCAUUACAUCUGAUACAACUGCUCUAUGACAAAGAUUAAUUUCUAAAAAUGAACUAUAAAUCUAUAGGCCAGCAGUGAGACAGUGACUUGAGAAAUUUUUCGUUGUAAAGAGCCUGGUAGUUUGAUGCCUUUAAUCUGCAUCACUGCAGACAGUGUAUUGUUGAAUCCAAUGAGGUUUGAAUCCCAUGAUGAAUUUAAUUGUUUUCCACAAGUAGGUUAUGAACAGAAACCUUUGAUUUCUAUUAAUGAUGUAUCUUCAAGUGAAAAGCUAUUUUGUUUCUAUAUAUGUAUUUAAUAAAAGGAAAUGUAUCAAACAUUUAUUUUUAUUAAACUAAUAAGACAGAUAAAGCUGUCAAAGCAUAUUUUCAUUUAAUUUCUUUGGUCUUAUUUCCCUUAGUAUACAUGAAAGAUCAUUAAGUGCAGUCUCAUGUAUCUCAGGACGCACAGUUCAUUGCAUCAGGUAGUUGAUCUUAUUCCUAAAUAAGAGCUUUGAGGCUGCAAUAGUCUUUGUAACUGCAUCCACAUGGCAUCAUAACUGGAUUAAGACUUCAAGGUGCCACAUUCGGAGCAUGGCUUACCUGUUGCAUUUAGGGUAGCACCUAAUACAAGAUCUUUCCAAGCUCCGAAAAAUAUAGUCCCGGUGUUGAGGAGCUCAUGCCUAAUGAAAGACAAGCAGGAAAAGGUUAGGGAUCAUGGAACAGGACAAGAAGAGAGAAAUGAAAUGGAGCUUAUUUAGUAGUCUGCAGAAGUGGGAUCUGUAGAAGGAAGCUGGAUCUGAAGUGUGAUAGGGUUUGGCAGGUGACUUCCUGGAGUCUGCAUCCUGCAUAAACAUGGCACGUGGGAAAUAGGCUAAAGGAGUGGGAUGAGGGUAACUGGCCAAUGACUGCAGCCUGUGGGCAGUGCUUUAGCAAAGGCAAAGAGAGCAUGGAAAUCUGGAGGGUCCUGAAAGCUGCCUUGUGGCAAAACUACAUGUAGAGACUUGAACAUGAGUGCCACCAGCUAGAAUAGCUGUGGCUGCAGCUGGAGGGGCAGUGAGGGAAAGAGCAACGUAACAAACUUGGUGGACAAGGAAGAUGAACUCUGUGACUGCUUAGGUUUUAGCUGGAAUUGUUGGUGGAUAUCUGGGAAGGCUGAAGUAGGCUGUCCUAGGUGUCAGGGCAUCAUGGAGGGAGCAUGAAGUCUGAAGCAGAGUGGAGCUUUGAUGGAGAUUGUAGCAGUAGUGUCUGGAUUUGGGUAGAGUUUUGGGUAUGACCUGGCUUCCAAGACAGGGGAGAAAGGAAAGCCAGAAUAUAAAACUACACUCUAUGCUAGCCAUCAUUAAGGACUCAGAUGUGGACCUCUGGAAAUAUUGAUGUAGAGAAGGUUUCUUACUGCUCGUGAAGAGGUUAUUGUCAAAUAAAUAGUGUAAAAGGCUUGCUUUCUAGAAAAAGAUUUGGACUUUGAGAGUUGCAAAAGUCCGUCUUUAAGAACAAACUGUUUCGUCUUCCAUGGCUGGUGGACUUUCCUGGUGUGCUGGUUGACCCACACACCGCACAAAGUCACUAUUGAUUUUCCGACUUCCUCAGCCACUCUGGGCCUUUCAGCUGCUUCAGGGAGUAUUCACCUCUCUCAGGGCUUCAGCCUCCCACAGGCUCCAGGCUGGCAUCCAUGGAGAGGUGGAGGGAACCGUGGGGUGUUCAGUGGGGUGCAGCUGUCACAGCCCUUGCUGGUAGCUGGACGCAGCAGAGCUCUGUGCUCUUCUCUGGCACUGCAGGGGGAUGUCUCCUACUCCCCGCAGGCCGAGGUAUUUCUGCCUCAUCAGGGGUGGGGCUGUGGAGUGGUGUCCAGCGGAGUGGCCACAGGCAGCGGGGCAGAGGAUCCCUGGCGGGACAGCAGGUGGGCAGCUGAAGUGACAGGGCCUGAUGGACAGGACUGAAAUGAUAUGGGUGACCCAUGGAUGAUUUGUUUUCCAUUGCUGUGUGCAUUGCUUGGUCUGUAACUUUCCACGUAGCUGUCAUUAAUAAAGCUGUGCUGUACUAUUGCUAAUACAUAGAUGCAUGAGUGUUUCAUUAUAAGUAGAAUUGCGCUGUGUGAAAGAGAGAGGAGCUGGACAGGAAUGUUGAGUUUCUACCGCCCCUGAGCUUAAAGAUAAGAAAUAUCUGGCUGCUUCCUCCUCUCCUCUCCUGGCACCUUGGCCAUGUUCAGGGGAGUGUGUGGGGGGAGUAAACAGCUGGGGCCAGCCUCCACUUUUUGGGGCAAUGUAAUUUGUUUGUUCAAUGGUAUAAAGGCUAAGCCCCUCACAGAGAGGGUUUGGAGAACUCAGUCGGAGGUGGACACACUAAGUGGGUUUCCCAAUUGCCUUUUUCUGAAUCCUCACUGCAAAAAAGAAAGGGGUCCCCCGCAACUGCAGAUCUGGAUGAUGUUAAAGCAGUUGGUGAUGUAUUUCUCUUAAUCACUGCACUUAUUCUCUUAUGGUAAUGAUUGGACAUGUUGCCU